CAUUUAUCAAAACACUGUAUUGUGCCCUAUAAGCAUAAACAAUUAUUUAUGAAUAACAAAACUAUAAACAUUUUAAUAAGAGAAUUAUUGGAGUCAGAAGGAUAGGAUAUGUACCUAACAGGUCACUAAAGAUUUUAGAUGAAAAAAAGAAAAUACAUUGCAUAGCAAUUCUAACUACCUCUUUAUCUAACAUUGCCUCCACAUACUACCAGACCCAGCCUUGUCUUCUUUCUCCUUGGUUUUCUAUUUCCCAAAUCUGUUUCUAGGCUGAUAAUUCUCUUCUUUUCCAAUGUGGGACUUCACAAGUCUUUUGGCGUAAUGCCUCAUCUACAUUAAAUUGUCCUUAUUUUACUGGAUAGACAAAAUACUCCUUUUUGAGGGCUAUUUACGGUGGGCUGUGUGAUGAAUGGGGUCAGUUAUCAUCAGGCAGUGGUAGAAUGUCUUUCGUGGAUGGAAAGAAGAGGCUGUGACUACUUAAUGCUUUUAUUUCAUCAUUGUUACAUUAACUGUGGAUCACUCGUGAACUGGCAUGCAGUUAUUGAAGGUGAAACGGAGACAGUGAUUUCAGACCGAGUGGGCAGCAUUAGGGUCCCUCGGGGCUGCUUGAGGGAGGAGGCAGGGGACACUGCAGCAUUACUCACAACAGCUAAGACGCAGAGGCAACCUAGGUGUCCAUGAUAAAAAUGGAUGGAUAAAGAAAACGUGAUACACAUACAACGGAGUACUUUUUAUUUUUAAAAAGAAGGUGUCAACAUGAAUGAACCUGAAGGAUAUUAUUAUGAAAUAAAGCAGGCAUGGGAAGAAACAUGCCAGGCAGGCACGGCUUCUGAAGUAUGCUUUAAUUAUGGCCAUGUUUGUUUUUGCUAGAAUACAAAAUAAUGGGUUUUGUUCAUUCGCACGUGCAUGUCAUUAUACAUGCAUCAUUGUACUUUGCUCACAUUUAUCCCUUCCUUAAUUCUCUCGCCCCUCUCAACCCUGGAUAUUUUGUUUCAGACAAGGUUCACGCUAGUAAAAGUUUUCUUUUUACAUUUGAUCUCAUCCAAAAUGGCUGAGAUGUGGUGAAAAAUUUACUUCUUAUGAAAGCAGCUUGACCCAAGGGAGCAUGUGACAGAGAUCCGGAACACUCAUGUGUUUAUGCAGCUGUAUUCGCCUCGGCCGGGGGAGGUGUCUGCCAACAGAGGAACGGAUUAGGAAGAUGUGGCACAGAGGAAUGAUAGGAUUUUAUUCAGCUAUAAUGAAGAAUGAAAUUAUGUCAUUUGCAAGAAAAAAAAGAGAUAGAACGAGAGGUUAGCAUGUUAAAAGAAAUAAGCUGCAUUUAGGCAAAUAUUACUUAUUUCCUCUCAUACAUAGAAGCUGAAGUUUAAAGGAAAAGAUUUGAAAGUAGAAAUUGAUUAUUUGAGAAGAGGAAGGGACCUCAUCCGAGUAGGCAAGACAGCAAAGGGCAAUGGGAGUGGUGGGUAUGGUUAGAGUGCCAUGCAUGCAAGGCUGACAACACCAGAAUAAUAUCCAUUGUUCUGUACAACAAAAAUAUACACUCGUGCUUCACUCAAGUGUUUGGAAAGUCAUUUAAAGAUGGGGUUAGGGAGUUGGUUCAGUGCUUGAGUCUGGAACAUUAGCACCACUGGGCAUGGCAGUGUGUGUCUAUCAUCCCAAUGUGUGUUGGGGCUGUAGCAGGUAGAGAGAGGACUGAGACAUCCAGUCUAGUCAAAACAGAGAGGCCCUGCCUCAAAAAAUCGGGUGGAGAGCGAUAGAGGAAGGCGCCCAACAUUAACUUUUGUCCUCCAUGCACAACUACAAGCACACGUGCACCUGAUGUGACAUACCACAAGCCCCUACCACACACAUGCAUCCAGAAAGUGUGUCUGAGGUAAAGCACAAGGGGAAAAUAAUCUCCCUGUGGUUUAUAGAACAAAUAUAGAUAAAUGUAGAUGAGGGGAAACCCCCUAAAUUUCAUCACUGAAUAGUAAUGAAAACGUUCAGCAGGCAAGAAUUGAUUCAAAAAGUAUUAUGUGAAAAUUACAGCCACACAACAUACCUAGAGUUGUGUCUGAUUCUCAGGAAAUGAACAACCCUACCCAUUUUACUCAUUAACACAUCAUCUAGUGAUCGCCUGUUGACCUUAAAGCAAAUGAAUUGAAAGUGUGUCGUUUAAUAAACUUUCCCACAGACACCACCCAGAUCACAAUAUAGGGCAUUUCUGUCACUCCGGGGAGUUCCCUCACAUACUAGUCUUCUUGGGAGCUCACUCAUGUCCCAUCACUAGAUAAAUUUCACCUGCUCUAAAGCUCUGUAAGCAAUGGUUGCCAGGGGGAGGGAGUCCCAUUCCUCAGUAUGUAGCUACUGCUAAGCUGCCCUUGUUCAGGAAAAUUACCCCUGCCCCUGCCUGUGCAGUGGGUCACAAACAAACAAGAUGUGAAAUCAGGAGUGGAGUGGUGGGAAGAGGGUUUGCUGGGAGGAGGAAGGGAGUAAUAGAAGAGAAUGAGGGUAAAUACAGUCAAAGUUCUCUCUACUUCCCUGCCCCGCUCUCCCUCCUCCCUCCCUUCCUCCCUUUCUCCCUCCCUCCCUCCCUUCCUUUCUCUCUCUUUCUUUCUCCUUCCUUCUUCCCUCCCUCCCCCUUUUUUCUUUCUUUCUUUCUUCCUUCCUUCCUUCCUUUCUUUCUUUCUUUCUUUCUUUCUUUCUUUCUUUCUUGAGACAGGGUUUUUCUGUGUAGAUCUGGCUGUCCUGGAACUUCCUUUGUAGACAAAGCUGGCCUCAAACUCACAGAUAUCCACCUGCCUCUGCCUCCCAAGUGUUGGGAUUAAAGGUGUGUGCCAUCACUGAGUGGCAAAUUUAUAACUUUAAUCUUUCAUUUUAAUUUUAUUUUCCCCCUCUCUCUUUCUAGUUGAUCUGUAAUGAAAUUGUGAAAGAACAAAUUAGAAGAAAGAAAAAAAACACGCCUCUUCAUGGACCUUUUGGGUUUGCCUAAUCUCUUGGACAACCCUAACCAACAACCCAGAAGGGAACUUCUCUUCCUGGUGUUCUGGCUUUUGUUAGAUAGUCUAUAGUGUUGGCAGGAAGAACUGUCAGGACAGAUGGGAAGUUUUCAUUUAAACUGUGGCUUGAGAUCGAGCCAGUGCCUCAUGCACUUAGGAGAGCCCCCUACCACUAAGCUACAUCCAUGGUCCUCCACUAGGCUCUUCACUGGCCUCCUCCUACCAACUUUGGCUUCACUCAAGACUUAUUAUACACAACCCUGUGCAUCUGAUCUAUCUUCGGACACAUGCUGCUGAAGUUUCAACAGUUUGAAGAGGUUUUAGAAGCACCUCUAAAGACAGAUACAUGGAUAUUAGAAACUGUGUUGGUUGCACAUGUUCGGAAGACUCAGGUUCCAACUCUGGAACAUUCACUAGCUAUCUCUAUGAUUGAGCUAUCUUCCCUCUAAGCCCCUCAAGUUUCCCUUUCCUGAUCUGUGAAUAAAAACAUUGCAUCAAACUAGGUCUCCUGGGAUGUUUUCAGUGAGCAACGUUGUGAUAUACUGUGGAACUGACUUAGAGGAACUUUCUGGAAUUCUUGCUGGAGACAGAGCAGAACAAGGCCCUGGGGAGGCAUUUUAGGCAUCUCUCCUAUCUUUCUUCUCUGAGAUGCCUGGCAUGUUUGGAGACAGUUCCCAUAUGCAGGAAAGAACCACAUGAAGAUGUUCCCGGAUCAGUUCCUCAUUUCAGCAGGUGUGCCAGGCAACAGAGGGCUCCCAGCAGUGGAGGGGAAGUCUGUGGUUUGCUUUUACACGAUGGUGUGGGUUCUUGUUAAGUUCUCUGUGCUCUACUAUAUACUUAGAAGCCACUAGAUCCAGGCCAGCUUCUAGAAGCUGAGUCCGUAAGUCCCACAGAGUUGCUUUGCGGCCAGUUGUGUGGGCCAGCUGAGCAGUGGGUGUAGACAUAUACAUUUGUACAGUUAUGGAUUUUAGUGUAAGAAUUAUGGUGUAGAAGUAAAUACAUAUUGGAAAAAUAUUAGUGUCCUGAUUUUGAUAUUAUACUCUAGGUAGGUAAGAUGCAACCAUUUGGGGACACAGUGUGAUGGUGAGAAGAACCCCUCUGUUCUACCAUUGCAGUACCUUGUGAGUCUUUAUUUCAAAGAUUAAAAAAUAUGUGUAAAUGUUUCAAGGUGGUUUAUAAGGUUCUGUAAGGAUGGUUUCAUAGUUGUCUGAGUGGGGACCUCCCUAUCCCCCUAAAGGUGCAGGCUCACUUCUUGUGCUUAUUGUGCAGUGGGUUUUCAUAGUGUUGUCUAUCAAGUUUGUGUUGUGUUUGAUCAGCAUCAAGGCCAGCCUUCGAAAUCACACGGUGAGUGCUGAGCCUUUUGGAUGCCUGGUUUCCAAAGCAUGCCCUACUUCUUUCUGCUUUGAGGCUCCCCAGCCUCCCUUGGCUCUGGAACGUUCAUGCAAAGGGCUGAAGAGUAGCCUGGCUGAUGGAGAGUAACCUGACAUAUGAAGAGUAGCCUGGCCGAUGGAGAGUAGCCUGGCUGAUGAAGAGUAGCCUGGCCGAUGGAGAGUAGCCUGGCUGAUGGCUUACACAGAUUUCUGAGGGCAGCAGGAAAAAUAGGAUGCAGCCCUGUAGUCAGUCAUUUGAGGGUCCAGUUAGUUCAGAUUCAAUUCUACAAAGGAACUUAUGGGUUGGGAAUGUUGAUGGUUCUGAAAAGAAGAGGAAAAAUUGAGAAAUAAUCCUUGUAGGCAGAAUAAUGCACCCCAUCUUCUCAAAGAGGUCCACCUCAUGUUUAGAAUCUGAACAUUGUCACAUGGCAAAGAGGAAUUAAGACUCUAAUCAACUUACAUGGUACAAGGAGUUUAUCAUGGCCUGUUCUAAUAGCUCCAUGUAAUCGUAAGUGUCCUUAAAGGUAGCAGAGAGAGGCAGAGAAAGUGAGGGGAUGACAGCUGGGUAUCCCAGUACUGGCUUUGAAGGAGGAAGGGACCAUGAG
Peromyscus californicus insignis is the source of this 4947-nucleotide long non-coding RNA. RefSeq lists it as uncharacterized. The transcript has 3 exons. The record is from RefSeq and is a predicted model, not a curated record. Lineage: Eukaryota; Metazoa; Chordata; Mammalia; Rodentia; Cricetidae.